GAAUUUUGGACAAUGGGCGAAAGCCUGAUCCAGCCAUGCCGCGUGUGUGAAGAAGGUCUUCGGAUUGUAAAGCACUUUAAGUUGGGAGGAAGUGCAGUAAGCGAAUACCUUGCUGUUUUGACGUUACCGACAGAAUAAGCACCGGCUACCUCUGUGCCAGCAGCCGCGGUAAUACAGAGGGUGCAAGCGUUAAUCGGAAUUACUGGGCGUAAAGCGCGCGUAGGUGGUUCGUUAAGUUGGAUGUGAAAUCCCCGGGCUCAACCUGGGAACUCCUUUCAAAACUGGCAAGCUAGAGUAUGGCAGAGGGUAGUGGAAUUUCCUGUGUAGCGGUGAAAUGCGUAGAUAUAGGAAGGAACACCAGUGGCGAAGGCGACCACCUGGGCUAAUACUGACACUGAGGUGCGAAAGCGUGGGGAGCAAACAGG
This 425-nucleotide ribosomal RNA is filed under the name uncultured bacterium. RNAcentral's name for it is "bacterial SSU rRNA". It matches the Rfam family "Bacterial small subunit ribosomal RNA", at positions 359 to 776 of the family's 1533-position model. The record is from RNAcentral.